AUUGAACGCUGGCGGCAGGCCUAACACAUGCAAGUCGAGCGGAUGAAGGGAGCUUGCUCCUGGAUUCAGCGGCGGACGGGUGAGUAAUGCCUAGGAAUCUGCCUGGUAGUGGGGGAUAACGUCCGGAAACGGGCGCUAAUACCGCAUACGUCCUGAGGGAGAAAGUGGGGGAUCUUCGGACCUCACGCUAUCAGAUGAGCCUAGGUCGGAUUAGCUAGUUGGUGGGGUAAAGGCCUACCAAGGCGACGAUCCGUAACUGGUCUGAGAGGAUGAUCAGUCACACUGGAACUGAGACACGGUCCAGACCCCUACGGGAGGCAGCAGUGGGGAAUAUUGGACAAUGGGCGAAAGCCUGAUCCAGCCAUGCCGCGUGUGUGAAGAAGGUCUUCGGAUUGUAAAGCUUUAAGUUGGGAGGAAGGGCAGUAAGUUAAUACCUUGCUGUUUUGACGUUACCAACAGAAUAAGCACCGGCUAACUUCGUG
This 482-nucleotide ribosomal RNA is filed under the name uncultured bacterium. RNAcentral's name for it is "partial 16S ribosomal RNA". It matches the Rfam family "Bacterial small subunit ribosomal RNA", at positions 30 to 507 of the family's 1533-position model. The record is from RNAcentral.